Molecule: ribosomal RNA, 467 nt
Filed under: uncultured bacterium
Lineage: Bacteria
Description: partial 16S ribosomal RNA
Rfam family: Bacterial small subunit ribosomal RNA
Source: RNAcentral
GAUGAACGCUGGCGGCGUGCUUAACACAUGCAAGUCGAACGGAAAGGCCAGUGCUUGCACUGGUGCUCGAGUGGCGAACGGGUGAGUAACACGUGGGUGAUCUGCCCUGCACUUUGGGAUAAGCCUGGGAAACUGGGUCUAAUACCAGAUAGGACCAUGCUUUGGUUGGUGUGGUGGAAAGUUUUUUCGGUGUGGGAUGAGCUUGCGGCCUAUCAGCUUGUUGGUGGGGUAAUGGCCUACCAAGGCGUCGACGGGUAGCCGGCCUGAGAGGGUGUACGGCCACAGUGAGACUGGGACACGGCCAAGACUCCUACGGGAGGCAGAAGUGGGGAAUGUUGCACAAUGGGAGCGAGCGUGAUGCAGAGGCGCCGCGUGGGGGAUGAUGGCGUUCGGGUUGUAAUCUCCUUUCGCUACUGACGAAGCUUUUUGUGACGGUAGGUUGAGAAGAAGCACCGGCUAACUACGUG